UCCACCACCGGCCACCGGCCACAGGGUUUUUGGCUUUUUCCGCUCUCUACAACUACAACAGAAUAGAACCUUCCGGAAUUGAAAAGGACCGAAGAAGAGGGCGGCGGCAGCAAUGGCGGAGCACUUGGCUUCGAUAUUCGGAACCGAAAAGGACCGCGUGAACUGCCCCUUCUACUUCAAGAUCGGCGCGUGCCGCCACGGCGACCGCUGCUCCCGCCUCCACAACCGCCCCACCAUCAGCCCCACCCUCCUCCUCUCCAACAUGUACCAGCGCCCCGACAUGAUCACCCCCGGCGUCGACCCCCGCAAGAUCCAGGACCACUUCGAGGACUUCUACGAGGACAUCUUCGAGGAGCUCGACAAGUUCGGCGAGAUCGAGAGCCUCAACGUCUGCGACAAUCUCGCCGACCACAUGAUCGGCAACGUCUACGUCCUGUUCAAGGAGGAGGACCAGGCCGCGGCUGCGCUCCACGCGCUCCAGGGCAGGUUCUACAACGGCCGCCCGAUUAUCGCCGACUUCUCCCCCGUCACGGACUUUCGGGAGGCCACGUGUCGCCAGUUUGAGGAGAACAGCUGUAACCGAGGCGGUUAUUGCAAUUUUAUGCAUGUGAAACAGAUUGGGAGGGAGCUGAGGAGGAAGCUGUACGGGAGGUACCGCGGCUUUCGGGCUAGCCGGAGCCGGAGCCGGAGCCGGAGUUUGAGCCCGGUGCGGCACCAGAGGGAGAGGGAGAGGGAGAGAGAUCAUAGAGGGAAUGGGAGGAGAAGCAGGGACAGGAGGAGACGUAGCAGAACCAGGAGCAGGAGCAGGAGCCCGGUAGCGGCGGCGAGGGAAGGGAGCGAGGAGCGGCGAGCAAGAAUUGAGCAGUGGAAUCGAGAGAGGGAGGAGAAGCGGUGAUUGUUUGGCACUGGGAUUUGCUUUUAGUGGCCUGUAAAGCUCAUGUCGUGGACUUUAGUUUUGAUGACUUCCACUGCUAAUGCAGUGAUAACAUAUGCAGUUUAUGCUGGGUGUUUUUCUACAGUCUACACAACAUAUCGACAUCCAUAAUAAUAGAAUAUCCUAUGCUGGAUCUGUAUUAGAUUCUCAGCACACCAUAUCACCAGAUGAUUUUGUAUCAAAUGCUCACCAGUGAUAGGUAUCCAGGGGACCUAGAAGUUUUGUCAAGCUUAUGGGUUUUCUCUUCCUAAUUUUAUCAAGUGCAAGUUCUUGCGUUCUUUUCCUUCUCUUUUACUAAUAUUAUUGCCCGUGUAUGGAUUUAGGGUUAGCUGAACAAGAAAACAGGUCAGAAACAGACUAGCUAUGGUGUAGGCUGUCUUUAGGUCCUCCUUUGGUUUGAUUGGUACUAGGUAAUUUCUUCUGUGGGUAUAGAUCAUCACUCCAGUCGCAAAAGGUGCUCUACAAAUGUAAUGCAGUUAGAUUAUAUUUUUCUAGCACGCAAGUCACUUGUGACAUGUCUUGGAUCGUGUUUACAUUGAAAUGGUUUCUGGUAGCAAUGAGGUGGUAUGAAUGUAAUGAUGAUGCUAAACUAUAAUUUGUAGUAGUGACCUCUUCGUCCAGCCUCACUUAU
Molecule: RNA transcript, 1565 nt
Organism: Argentina anserina (silverweed cinquefoil)
Lineage: Eukaryota; Viridiplantae; Streptophyta; Magnoliopsida; Rosales; Rosaceae
Gene name: splicing factor U2af small subunit B-like
Exons: 4
Source: RefSeq, a predicted model, not a curated record